Molecule: small nuclear RNA, 282 nt
Filed under: Meriones unguiculatus (Mongolian gerbil)
Lineage: Eukaryota; Metazoa; Chordata; Mammalia; Rodentia; Muridae
Description: 7SK RNA (ENSMUGG00000026463.1)
Rfam family: 7SK RNA
About the family: 7SK was discovered as an abundant small nuclear RNA in the mid-70s but a possible function has only recently been suggested. Two independent studies have found that 7SK RNA binds the CDK9/cyclin T complex (known as elongation factor P-TEFb).
Source: RNAcentral
GGAUAUGAUGGCGAUCUCACGCUGCUGUCUACCACACUGAUUUCUAGGACUGAUCUGGCUGGCCAGACAGGUAUCCCCUUCCUCCCUCAUUGUUCCAUGUUUGUCCCUCUUGAAGCUGAACACUCAGUCAGUCAAAGAGGUCAACCUCCCUCAGAAAAAGGACCAUUCUUGGGUCCAAGGCAUAUGAGUAGCUGUGCUCCCUGAUAGAACAUCCAAACAAAGUAAAUUUGUUAUUUAAAAAACCUGAGCUACUUACUGUCAAGCCUAUUCCUCUAUGAAAUA